RNAcentral lists this long non-coding RNA (276 nucleotides) under Citrus sinensis (sweet orange). Its description in RNAcentral is "long non-coding RNA (CSIN_LNC003235)". Lineage: Eukaryota; Viridiplantae; Streptophyta; Magnoliopsida; Sapindales; Rutaceae. The record is from RNAcentral.
CGAAUACUAGUAUGCUGGCACCACCCUUUCAUCUCUCACCGCCGCCCAUUUCAUACCAAUUCCUUAUUGCUAGCCCUUAUUUCUAACCAUCACAUACAACUAAUCUAGUUACUGAUAAUCGGAAUCAUAAAGCACCAUCGCUGCUAAUUUGUUGUUUCCAACCAAAUAGCUAUCCUAAAGGAUAAACCACCACCGCUAUCGAGCUUACUGCUUCCAAGCCAUCUAGAUCUAUCCAUCGCUUCCCUUUUUCCAAGCAACAGUUCCUAAACUAGAGGC